This 207-nucleotide ribosomal RNA is filed under the name uncultured bacterium. RNAcentral's name for it is "partial 16S ribosomal RNA". It matches the Rfam family "Bacterial small subunit ribosomal RNA", at positions 568 to 774 of the family's 1533-position model. The record is from RNAcentral.
UGCGUAGGCGGAAUGAUAAGUUAGUGGUGAAAGCCCCCGGCUUAACCGGGGAACUGCCAUUAAUACUGUCAUUCUUGAGUAUAGUUGAAGUGGGCGGAAUGUAUUAUGUAGCGGUGAAAUGCUUAGAUAUGAUACAGAACACCGAUAGCGUAGGCAGCUUGCUAAGCUAUAACUGACGCUCAGGCACGAAAGCGUGGGGAGCAAACA